RNAcentral lists this ribosomal RNA (472 nucleotides) under uncultured Curtobacterium sp. RNAcentral describes it as "bacterial SSU rRNA". It matches the Rfam family "Bacterial small subunit ribosomal RNA", at positions 910 to 1382 of the family's 1533-position model. Lineage: Bacteria; Bacillati; Actinomycetota; Actinomycetes; Micrococcales; Microbacteriaceae. The record is from RNAcentral.
GUUGACGGGGCCCGCACAAGCGGCGGAGCAUGCGGAUUAAUUCGAUGCAACGCGAAGAACCUUACCAAGGCUUGACAUACACCGGUAACGCCCAGAGAUGGGUGCCCCUUUGUGGUCGGUGGACAGGUGGUGCAUGGUUGUCGUCAGCUCGUGUCGUGAGAUGUUGGGUUAAGUCCCGCAACGAGCGCAACCCUCGUCCUAUGUUGCCAGCGGGUCAUGCCGGGGACUCAUGGGAGACUGCCGGGGUCAACUCGGAGGAAGGUGGGGAUGACGUCAAAUCAUCAUGCCCCUUAUGUCUUGGGCUUCACGCAUGCUACAAUGGCCGGUACAAAGGGCUGCGAUACCGCGAGGUGGAGCGAAUCCCAGAAAGCCGGUCUCAGUUCGGAUUGGGGUCUGCAACUCGACCCCAUGAAGUCGGAGUCGCUAGUAAUCGCAGAUCAGCAACGCUGCGGUGAAUACGUUCCCGGGCCUU